Ixodes scapularis (black-legged tick) is the source of this 288-nucleotide long non-coding RNA. RefSeq lists it as uncharacterized. The record is from RefSeq and is a predicted model, not a curated record. The transcript is spliced from 3 exons. NCBI's taxonomy places the organism in Eukaryota, Metazoa, Arthropoda, Arachnida, Ixodida, Ixodidae.
CGACGACGUCUGUCUGUCCCCAACCACGUGCCUGGACACCGGCUGCCACGCUGAUGCCCUGCCUUUGACAUCUGGCCAGUUGCCGACCCCGUGCCUGGACACUGAUUGAAGACCUGCAAAGGAGACUAACUUCAGCUUAGAGGCAGUGGAACGAAACACCUCUCCACAGUGAAAUCCUCACAGCUGGACUGCAGAACUACCCUGGUGACGAAUCCAGUGCCUGAAAAAAACUACCAUGAAAAGUACCGCAUGGAGUACCGACACUCUCUAGAAAGCCCUUAAAGGGGC